RNAcentral lists this ribosomal RNA (433 nucleotides) under uncultured bacterium. RNAcentral's name for it is "partial 16S ribosomal RNA". It matches the Rfam family "Bacterial small subunit ribosomal RNA", at positions 29 to 507 of the family's 1533-position model. The record is from RNAcentral.
AACGAACGCUGGCGGCAUGCCUAACACAUGCAAGUCGAACGAGACCUUCGGGUCUAGUGGCGCACGGGUGCGUAACGCGUGGGAACCUGCCCUUAGGUUCGGAAUAACUCCCCGAAAGGGGUGCUAAUACCGGAUAAUGUCUUCGGACCAAAGAUUUAUCGCCUUUGGAUGGGCCCGCGUUGGAUUAGCUAGUUGGUAGGGUAAAAGCCUACCAAGGCGACGAUCCAUAGCUGGUCUGAGAGGAUGAUCAGCCACACUGGGACUGAGACACGGCCCAGACUCCUACGGAAGGCAGCAGUGGUGAAUAUUGGACAAUGGGCGAAAGCCUGAUCCAGCAAUGCCGCGUGAGUGAUGAAGGCCUUAGGGUUGUAAAGCUCUUUUACCCGGGAUGAUAAUGACAGUACCGGGAGAAUAAGCUCCGGCUAACUCCGUG